UACGUAGGGUGCGAGCGUUUGUCCGGAAUUAUUGGGCGUAAAGAGCUUGUAGGCGGUUUGUCGCGUCUGCCGUGAAAAUCCGGGGCUCAACCCCGGACUUGCGGUGGGUACGGGCAGACUAGAGUGUGGUAGGGGAGACUGGAAUUCCUGGUGUAGCGGUGAAAUGCGCAGAUAUCAGGAGGAACACCGAUGGCGAAGGCAGGUCUCUGGGCCAUUACUGACACUGAGAAGCGAAAGCAUGGGGAGCGAACAGG
RNAcentral lists this ribosomal RNA (254 nucleotides) under uncultured bacterium. Its description in RNAcentral is "partial 16S ribosomal RNA". It matches the Rfam family "Bacterial small subunit ribosomal RNA", at positions 524 to 776 of the family's 1533-position model. The record is from RNAcentral.